Molecule: ribosomal RNA, 1214 nt
Filed under: Eukoenenia sp. AP-2010
Lineage: Eukaryota; Metazoa; Arthropoda; Arachnida; Palpigradi; Eukoeneniidae
Description: SSU rRNA
Rfam family: Eukaryotic small subunit ribosomal RNA
Source: RNAcentral
UAUUGGAGGGCAAGUCUGGUGCCAGCAGCCGCGGUAAUUCCAGCUCCAAUAGCGUAUAUUAAAGUUGUUGCGGUUAAAAAGCUCGUAGUUGGAUCUCAGUUCCAGACUGGCGGUACACCGUUAGGUGGUAACUGCUUGGCCUGAACAUUCUGCUGGAUGUCCCUAGGUGCUCUUAAACAAGUGUCUAGGGUGGCCAGCACUUUUACUUUGAAAAAAUUAGAGUGCUCAAAGCAGGCUUAGUGCCUGAAUAAUGGUGCAUGGAAUAAUGGAAUAGGAUCUCGGUUCUAUUUUGUUGGUUUUCGGAACACGAGAUAAUGAUUAAGAGGGACAGACGGGGGCAUUCGUAUUGCGACGCUAGAGGUGAAAUUCUUGGACCGUCGCAAGACGAACUACUGCGAAAGCAUUUGCCAAGAAUGUCUUCGUUAAUCAAGAACGAAAGUUAGAGGUUCGAAGGCGAUCAGAUACCGCCCUAGUUCUAACCAUAAACGAUGCCAACCAGCGAUCCGCCUGAGUUCUUCCAAUGACUCGGCGGGCAGCUUCCGGGAAACCAAAGUGUUUGGGUUCCGGGGGAAGUAUGGUUGCAAAGCUGAAACUUAAAGGAAUUGACGGAAGGGCACCACCAGGAGUGGAGCCUGCGGCUUAAUUUGACUCAACACGGGAAAACUUACCCGGCCCGGACACCGGAAGGAUUGACAGAUUGAGAGCUCUUUCUUGAUUCGGUGGGUGGUGGUGCAUGGCCGUUCUUAGUUGGUGGAGCGAUUUGUCUGGUUAAUUCCGAUAACGAACGAGACUCUAGCCUACUAAAUAGUCGACUGAUCAACUUAGUCAGUCGCUCUUCUUAGAGGGACAAGCGGCUUUUAGCCGCACGAGACAGAGCAAUAACAGGUCUGUGAUGCCCUUCGAUGCCCGGGGCCGCACGCGCGCUACACUGAAGGAAUCAGCGUGCAUUUAUCCCUGUCCGGCAGGACUGGGUAACCCGAUGAGUCUCCUUCGUGAUAGGGAUAGGGGCUUGUAAUUAUUCCCCUUGAACGAGGAAUUCCCAGUAAGCGCGAGUCAUAAGCUCGUGUUGAUUACGUCCCUGCCCUUUGUACACACCGCCCGUCGCUACUACCGAUUGAAUGAUUUAGUGAGGUCUUCGGACCGUUGCCCGGGGCGAUGUCAUGUCGCACCGGUGUGAUGGAAAGAUGAUCAAACUUGAUCAUUUAGAGGAAGUA